Molecule: ribosomal RNA, 253 nt
Filed under: uncultured bacterium
Lineage: Bacteria
Description: partial 16S ribosomal RNA
Rfam family: Bacterial small subunit ribosomal RNA
Source: RNAcentral
UACGAAGGGAGCUAGCGUUGUUCGGAAUUACUGGGCGUAAAGCGCAUGCAGGCGGAUCGUUAAGUUGGAGGCGAAAUCCCGAGGCUCAACCUCGGAACUGCUUUCAAUACUGGCAAUCUUGAGUCCGGGAGAGGUGAGUGGAACUCCGAGUGUAGAGGUGAAAUUCGUAGAUAUUCGGAAGAACACCAGUGGCGAAGGCGGCUCACUGGCCCGGUACUGACGCUGAGAUGCGAAAGCGUGGGGAGCAAACAGG